Molecule: long non-coding RNA, 10373 nt
Filed under: Heterocephalus glaber (naked mole-rat)
Lineage: Eukaryota; Metazoa; Chordata; Mammalia; Rodentia; Bathyergidae
Description: lncRNA (ENSHGLG00000042012.1)
Source: RNAcentral
CUGCAUUCUCUUCUUGCUUACAUGAUUUCUGAGAACGCUGGUGUAAUUCUUAACUUUGUCGUUCAGUAGGUAAGGUCUUAUCUCCCUGCGUUUUUACAAGAUUUUCUUUGUUUUUGAUUUUUACACAUUGAAUUUGAUAUGUGUACUUAUAAUUUUUUCUGUAUUUACCUUGCUUAUUGUUGUAAAGGUUCUUGAACCUGAGAUUUGGUGUGUGUCCUUCAUUUUAGAAAAUUCUGAGCUACUAUUACUUCAGUUAUUUUUUAUGUUCCUCUCUUCUUCUAGAGUUCCCAUUAUGGGCAUGUUAUGCCUUUUGUAAUUGUCCCACAAUUCUUGAAUGUUCUGGGGUUUUUUUUUUCUUCUUUUGUUUUCUCUUUGUCUUUCAGCCUAGGGAGUUUCUAUUGACUUAUCAUCCAGCUCACUGAUCUUUUCCCCAGUCAUUUCUAACCUGAUCAUCCUUCAAGGCAUUCUUCAUUUCUGCCACAAUGUUUUUUUGUAUCUCCCAUUUCCUUUUGAUUCUUUGUUAGAGUUUCCAUUUCUUUUUGAUUAUGUUACUGAACUGUUCUUUUUUAUAGGUAUUAAUUUUAGGGUAUAGUAGUUUUUAAAAAAUGCUGGUUUUCAUUGUGGGAUUUUCAUACAGGCAUAUAACAUAUUUUGAUCAUAUCUAGCCCCCUAUUACCCUGCCUCACACCUACUUCUUCCUCUUCUUUAUUCCCUUUCUCUGGUCAAGUAGUGUCCCUCCUGCUUUCAUGUCCUUUUUGAAAAAAUCCAUGUACUUAUCUUUCUGAGUCUGGCUUAUUUCACUUAAUGUGAUGGUCUUUAUUUCCAUCCAUUUUCCCACAAAUGACAUAAUUUUGUUUCUUCUAUGGCUGAAUAACACUCCAUUGUGUGUACAUAUCAUAUUUUCUUCAACCAUUGAUCUGUUGAUUUUCAUCUAGACUGAUUCCAUAUCUUGGCUAUUUUGAAUUUGUGCCACAAUAAACAAUGAUAUACAAGUUUCUCUAUAGCAUACUGACUUUAAUUCUUCUGUUCCCCAUGUGUUCUUAAAUGUUUUCUACUUUUUCCAUUGGUUCUUGCUCUGAUUCAACUCUACUCAUUGCAAUUUGAUUCUGGCACCAUCUGUAAUUCACAAGUUAAUUGUUUAGCCCUCCACAAGACUGCCUCUUACUCUAGAUGCCAGCAGCAAGUGUGGUCCCCAUAUUUCCUAUGCUUCUGACUGACAAGCUAUAAAUUUUGAAGUCCCAACAACCACUCCAAUUUUGAUAAUUCACUCUAAUGAUUCACAGAACACAGUACAAAUGCUGUACUGCUGGGGAUUUAGCUCAGUGGUUCUGCCACCUGGCUCGCAAGUGCAGCUUCCCGAAAAUGCUGUUCUUACAGAUACAGUUUUAUUAUGAAGGAAACACACAAGAAAAGUUCUGGAAGGGCCGGGAUUCAGUGCUCUUGUAUCCUUUCUAUGGAAUCUGGAUGUAGCAUUGUCUGUGCACCACAGUGUGUUCAUGAUUUGGGAUGCUCCACUCGGUGUCCAGAGUUUUUGUAUGGGCUGUCAUCACACAGGCAUGACUGUGUAAACCACUGGGCAUGUGACUGAGUUCAAUCUUCAGUGCUUUCUCCUUCAUGGAGGUCAGACUGGCCCAGGAUUCCAGCCUUCUAAUCAUGAGUUUGGUCUCUCUAGUGACCAGCCCUGAUCCUGAAGCUAAUUAGGCAUCUACCGUGAGUCAUUUCAUUAAGAUCAACAUUAACACAAACAUGCCCAUAACUCAGGAAGUUCCAAGGGAUUUUGAAAUUCUUUGCCAGGAAUGGGAUCAAAGACCAAAUAAAUUCUUUAGCAUACCAUAAAACCUUUAAUAUAUCAAUCACAGUUGUUGUAAGCUUCUUAUCUGACAAUUUCAAAAUCUGUGUUAUAUCUGAAUCCAGUACUGAUGCUCAUUCUGUUUCUUCAGAUCGCAUUUUCUUCUUGCCUUUAGUAUAUCCAAAAUUUUGUUGUUGGGCACUGAGGCAGUCAGGCUAUCAGUAUAAAGAUGAUAUUAGUCUGGCCAGGACCUGGGUGUUUCCUGUUUAAGGUUUAUUAUAACUGUGCACCAAAGAUUCCAUUUUUCUCUAAUUUCCCAUUGUUUGCCACUUCCAUGCUGUCUCCAAGUCUCCUAAGAACCUCUUCUUAAAUAGAAUGUCUCUCUUAGGUGUCUCAUUUGUAACCCACUGUUUUUAUAUAGGAGCUCUGUCAGUGUAGGGAUAAGAUUUUGAGGAAGGGAAGCAUUCCACCUUAAAAUUAUAUAUCAGUUUUUUUAAUGGACUUGAGUUCCCGAGUUGUAGCCAUCAGUAACUUUUCUCAACUUUUUUUUCCUAUUAUGCAAGACAGAAAAUCUAGAAUGACUAACAAUGUCUAGUUGCUCUUCCUCUUCAUCAGAUAAGGCUGUAGCAAAGUAGCUUCCCUUGAGCACAAUCUCAUUAGAGAAAGUAGAACUGUCUGGGCUUAUUUCAAAGUGGUUACUUCUGUUCUUCACUGCUCACAGAAGAGAAGAUUGUCUCUCAUAUUUUACUCACCCCUGGUGGGUCUUCUGAAGGCCAAACCCACACCAGUAUAGGAGGCCCCCUAAAACUGGGUACAGUGGAUUUUAACUCUGGAGUUAGUCUGAAGUCAGCUUUCAGCAGUUCAUCAGUUGCUGUUUAUUUGUUCCUACCAGUUUCUAUCUCCAUAUGUCUCUGGUCCCGGUAAACUGUGAUUCUCUAUAUUUGCAUGUCUGUCUGGUUUUUGCUGUGGCAGUUUGUGAUGUGACCUCAGUGCUCUUGCAGAUCUAAUUAAAGUUGCUGAUUUUUAGUUUGUUCAGCUGUUUUUGUAUAGUCAGAACAGGAAAGAUAAUUUCAGAGCUCUUUGUGUGUCAGAGCUAAUCAGGAGGCAUGACCAGUAUGCAACUAGAAGCAGGGGUCUGAAAUCCAUAUGUACUUAGGCCAUGGCCCAUGGGGACAGGCAUAUUGAUUACUUCCAGUGGUCACUGACUCCUUCAUAAAACCAGCUUUUCAGCUAAACUGCAUUCUACAAAUGUACUACUUGCUAGGUUACUGGUCAAUUAAAUGCAGUCUUCAAAAGAAAGACCUUUUAGUGAGAUUUGGCUUUGUGAUUUGAACUGGCCUUUUUGUUUCCACUCUGUCCAAUCCCAGAGGCCUUUUCAGCUGGUGAAUGGGUUUCUCAUACGUUCUGUGCAUUGCUAUUACUCUUAAUGUAUUCUAGAACAUGAUUUUUCUGGCUUGUAAGCAUCUCCAACCCAACUUAUGAGUUUUCAGCUCUUUGGAUUUAAAUCAGAAACAUUUUAGUAAGUCUGAGCCCUAGAGACCCACUACUAAUAAGACUAUCACUAGGAUGAAUGGAUGAAGGGUGUGUGUGUGUGUGUGUGUGUGUGUGUGUGUUCAAACCUGUAUCAGUGAUUUUAUAAAUUUAUACCUAUGUUAUAAAUUUAUGUAUCUGAUUUCUAUGCUAGGUCUAGUAAUAUAUAUAUAUAUACAUAUAUAUAUACACUUAUCUAAAUCUUUUUGAACAAUUAUAUAAUAAGAAUUAUUUAAUACCUAUCUUUGUAAGCACAUUUAUAAACUUUUGACAUGAGAUUUGUAAGUUCCUAACCAGCAUUAAUAUUAUAUUAAGAAAUUUGUAAUAAAAGUGUCUAACAUCUCUUUUCAUAAAAUAUAUAACAGUUUAGAAAAAUAGUGUAUUUUAAGGCAUAUGUGGAGCAAACUGACAUAUUCUUUCAUCUACAAAAGUUGCAAGAAGUUCAUGAGAAACAAAAAGAUUGAGUUGUCAGUAUUCAUAGUGCUUCUCCCUGUUCAUUUAUUACUUUGUGCACCAGCAUAUUCUGGUAAAUGCUUAAUAACUGGUUCUCCCAAAAGAAAUGCCCCAAGUGUGGAAUCUAUUAACUUCUUUAGUGCAAAUACCCCCAUAAUGGUCAAUUCCAGGGCCGCGUAACACUGAGUAGCAGAGGCAUGCACUAAUCAGAUCUCAUUAGGUCCUAAGGACUGACUGGAGCAUUUGCUGCCUGUAAACAGGAGACAAAGGAUUGUUAGGGGCAUCAUAACUGUCUGAGAGUGUUGGGAGCAAUGCUACAUAAUACUAGGGAAAAAUCAUUUGAGUAGGCCUAGUUCUCCUGCCUACAGCCCAGCUAGGACAUUCCAGACAUAAUUGCAUUUUGGCCUCUGGUCACAACUGAGACCUCAGUGAUCCCCCCCCCCCCAUGCUGCAAUCUCCAGGACAAGACCACACCUGUGGGAGAUGCCAGGGAGGAACCAAAUCUUCAUCUGCAUAAUUCCUCAUUGUUCUUAGAUUUCCACUGCCCCCCAGCUUUUUGUUACACCUUGUUUAUCCCAAUGUGAAGUACUGAACUCUAUUUUUCACUUGUUACAUUUGUUUCCCCAUGUACUGAAUAAAAGGUGCUGGAAGCUAGACGGUUUUUGUCUUUGCCACCCAGAGCAGCACUGAUCAGACCCAAAGCUCAGCUUCUUCUCAGUCUCAUUUGUCUACCUUUCCUGUAAUUCGCUGUGUGCUGCCAUGGCUCACAGGUGACUAGGACUUACUGCAGAGGUUCUGGUAAUGUCCCCUUCCCCUGUUCCCUACAUGAGAGUGUUCAUAUUUUACAAAGAUGAGGGGAAAGUCAGAGGUUGGGGCUGGUGAGGCUUCUCAGUGAUUUUUCAUGGAGAUUUUGCUGGUUUCUGAGUGAUGAUGUGGGCUUUAAAAAUAUAUGGACCAUUUGAUUUUCAGAUACCUAGGCAAUCAAGGUGAUAUUUGUGUUAUCAUGCUUUUUGUGUGUCAGGUAGGAAAAAAAUUGUCAGUUGGGAAAUAAUGCUGUUUUUUUAUUCCUUAGCAUUUAGAGUUUAAAUAUAAUGACUUUAGUAAUAAUCCUACUAAUAACUAUAUGUGUCUUGGUAAGAUAUACUAUUUUUUCCACAGUAUUGACCAUUUAAUCAUUGAAGGUGUUAUGUGAAGAGAAUAUGAUGACUCUGAGAAUGUUGCUGGUACUGAAGUUUUGAUGGGAUCCAAAGAGUGUUAACGGUUCCCUAAUGAUGAAAGUGGACCAAGGUUAUUUGUUGGUAUCUUGAUAGAACAGACUGUGUCCUUAAAUGUAUUUAUCACAUGGAUCUACUUAGGUUCCAGUCAAGACAUCACUGUGUACAUACAUGUUUAUUAAUGGAGCUUUCCAGGUAUCCAGGCAAGUGAUAAGGAAGGAUAGAUAACACCCUUGACUAACACUGAGAAACCAUGAAAUUAGAACUGUGACACUGGAACUUGUGUUCUCAAGUCUUUUGCUCUCCCAUCAAGCUCUUUCCAAGUGCACAGAGAUGAGCUGCUGUUACAUUUCUCAUUAAAGAUGUUGUUUCCAGACAUCAAGGUAAUUAAUGAUACUGUUGAAAUUCUUCUACUGAAAUUGUUUUUGGUAUGUGUGCAGAUGAAAUAAUGGCCAGCUUAAGUGGGAAUGCUCAGCUUAACUGAGGGUGAUUCUGCAUGUGGGUGACCCACCUAAGGAUUGUUGCCAGAACUGCAUAAAAGGAGGAUAGGAGGGGAGGAAUGCUGGCUGCUGAUUUCCCAGGAGAAGCUUUGUUGGAACUGGAACUCAGUGGCUUUUCUUGCUGUUGCUCCCUCAGUGGGUGGGUGGGGGGGGGUGCUGGUCUUUGCCUUUGUCUUGAGCAUCACUCCCUGGUUCCAGUGCAGAUCCCUCAGUGUUCUGGCACAGAUUGUUCACCCUGCCGGCAUAGACUUUUGAGCUUCUACCACUGGCCCUUGGGCCUUUUGGUGCAGAUUCUUGAUAUGAACUUGCAUGAGACAUUGCUGAGGGCUGUAGGCCUCUGGCUGGACUCAUGUGGAAUAUUAUGUGGAAAGAUCUAUUGCACUUUUCUGGGUUUGACUUUUUGGGAGAAUAUUGUAAGACAGUCCUAUAAAUUUGUAUAUCCUGUGGUAAAUCUGUUUCCUUGGAAACACCGACUAGAACAGUAUGUUUAUAGGUAAAAAAUAAAUUUGUAACAGUAAACAUGGAUUUUUCUUUAUUUGCAGGUAUAGACAUGCAAUAAGAUGUGCACCAAACACUGGGAUUUUUAGAUUUCUGUCAAGACCUUAUAGUAACCCUUUCAACUGUUGGUCAGCACACCAUGUAGGUAGGUGGUUUCAUGUAGGUUCUGAUGUAGGCCCAAACCACAGCACAGCUUGGCAAUCUUACUGGUUUUACCUUCUCAAGUAUUCUUAAAGAUGUAUUUUCUAAAGCCUUUGCAGAUUUCUAUCAUGAGAUCACAGUUAAUCUAACAUCAGCCUUUAAUGGCAGACAUUGCUGUUAUGCAAACAAGUGCUGAUGUAGACCAAAACUAAAGCACAGACCACCUGAUCUUCAGAUCACAUGAGGCAAGUGGUUAUGGUUUCCCUACCACUUGCCAUCAUGAUUUCUUUGCCAGUAUUCAGGUGAGGAAUAAUAACAUCCUUAGGAACACUUGAAACCAUGCAGUUUCUUUUCUGUAUUUCAGAGAGAAUGUGUAACCCUGUAAGGAGGUUGCACAUAUCCAAGUAUUUAUCACAUAGUCCCAACUAUAGUAAUCAUAGGAACUAGGCAGAUAUUCCACGAAGAAAUGUUGUCUUAUCUGACAUUAUCCUUGACCUUGGAGAACCACAAGAAUCCAGGUAGAGUCCUGUGAUCAUGGAUGUAAUAGAAGCUAUUCAACAGUUCCUGGUAGGUUGUGUCUUGAUUCCUGUCAAGGGUUAACAGUGAACUUAAAAAGUUCAUUAUCAGGAGAUAUUUCUGUAUUAGAGUAAAUAUUUUCAUGUACAGCACAUGCCAGACCGACCAUUAGAUCAUCAAAUAUCUGGGUCAGUGAUGUUUGUUUCCCUACAAUUUUUAUCAUAUGAUUAAAAAAAUGUAAGUAUGUAGAUAAGGAAUGCAGUAUUUCAUAUUCUAGAAACCAUAUUAUUGCAUUAUCUUACAUUUAGAGAGAAUUUACCCUGGGAAUUUCAAAUGACUUUCAUGUACUCAGGUUAUUAUUAUGCAUUUAUGCAUCAUGGUAGUUAACAAGUUAAAUAUUAGCAGUCAUGAGAUAAUGAGGUUUGGAACAAUGAUGUUCAUCAUAAAAUAAUCAAGAAUACAAGUAGAGUUGAUGAGUCCAGGUAGAAAUGAAAUCUUGCAAUAAUGACAAUAAAGAAAGUUAUUUGAAGGGUCCCAGUAGAAAAGUCUUACCAUACAUAUACUUGUCACCCAUGUUUUUACAUUUCCAUGCAGAUACGGUGGUAAGUCUCAUGAUGACCAACAGUGGCAGUUUGUUGUAUCCAUGGCCAUGAUGAUCAAGAGGGAUAUUGUAAGUGUGGGGUUCUUACAUUUAUUUUAGCAUGUUUCCUGUACAUAUUUAGUAAAGGAAUGAUUCUGUUUACCACUGCUAGUAACAAGUAGCUUAUUAUAUAAAGUUUUGAUAAACUCUGAAUUUAAUCCUAGGAGGUGUGGAGGCAUAUGCAGGGAUCCAUGUAAGUUAUUCAACUGAUCCACAUCACAGUAUUGACCAUAAUUUUUUCUACAGGUAGCCAGCCAAGAGAAAAUGGUGUGAAGAACAACAUCUCUGACCUUGAAGUUCUAAAGAUCUAAGUACUUCAGUUGGUUUCCCUGAUGAUGGAGGUGACCAAAAUUUUAAAGUUGUCCUUUUUUUCUCCCCUCAGGUGAAAGAUGAUGCGUCCUAAACACACAUCUCAAAGUGUUGUCUAAGAUUCCAACAGUUAUUAAAUUAUAGUGAUUGAACUUAAGAAUGGUAAUUUAUGAAAUGUUAUGACUAACCUGGUAAGUAAGAAAUUGUCCCUACCAAGAUGCCAACAAAUAACCUUCAGAUUUCUUGGUAAAGUGGAUGGGAUAUCUAACACAAUGUUACCCUGGCUUUUUGGCAGGUAUUCCAUUAAGUUUUAUCCUAGUGUACAGGUUUGUUGACUUUAAAUCAUUAGAGGCAUUUCUUAUUUUUUGGUAUUUAUAUCAUGAAUGAUGCUUUUGAACUCCUGUGGUAACCUCUGCUUAGAACACAGUUCAAAAUAUGAUUUGUCAGUAAUGCUUUUUGUAAAUAUGAGAUUGUACUAUGGACUUAUUUAGAGAUUGUGAUAGGUUAUUGUAUAGGGAUGCAGGUCAUUGACCAUAUUUCCUAUCCCCUAGUAUUGACCAUGGGAAUUUUGCUAGUGUUUCUUCCAAACAAGAUGGUAUUUCUUAGUAGGCUUUUACCUCAGUGUUCAGCUUUAGCCAUGUAAUUGUGAUAAGAAUAUGAUUUGUCAUGUUGAACGCCAUGACCAAGGGAAUGUGUCAAUGUCUUCCUUGAAUGACAUAGGUUCCAAAAUCAUUUUUCAUGAUUUGAUUUUCAAGUUCCUCUGAAGACACUGUGAUUAUCCUACCCAUGGGAGUGAGUAAAGUCCAUAGAGGGUUAUGAGGUAAGUGCUGAGGUACCCUAAACCAGAUCUUCAUCUAUAGAGGAAAGGGAUGAGGGUGUCCUGACUAUUACUAGAUUUAGUGGUCACUGCUCCUAUAAGAAAUAAUUUUGUCCUUCACAGUUCUAGUAAAUAUGAGUUUAUCCUUUAUAUGCCAUAGGGAAAAUUGGUGUUUUAGCAAGGACUGCUGAGGGAGUGAUUAUGAACUGGUUAAUUGAAAUUAUUGUGGAACUCUAGGACUGCAGUAAGCAUAGGUUAAUUUCCAGGGUGUGGAGAUGACAAAAUAUGGGCUCUCUGACAAUACUGUUUUUGUUUGGUGAAUCCAAGUAUCCUGAGGAGUUUAGCUGUCCUUUAGCAAUGGACAUUAAAAAGGGAGUGGGCUCAUGUUCUGACACAGCACCUUCUAUGCCAAACUGGCUUUGUAUUUUUUUCAGAUGCCCUUCAAGAGAACACAGUGAUCCAGAAAAGAUGGUUGUUGCAGUCACCCUAGUAACAAGGUAUCCUGCCAAAAGGUCUUGGGAGAUGCUGCUACCCUCAGCCAUGCAACACCUUCUUCUUUACUGAUGUACAUUGUGGGAGGGCACUUGGGCACACUUUGCUUUUCCCCACUGAUUCACCUGUGUGCCAGUGAAGGUGAAAUCUUCCCAGUGGCUGCUGGGACAGUCAUGUCACAGUGAGCAGCACAGUAUAAUCAGGUGGAUGCAUACAGACAUCCAGGUUCCUUCAAGGGAAGAUGAGCAGACUAUGGCUGGAACUGCAUGCAGGUGUCAGGUGAGAAUCAGCGUGCUGGUACCUCAUUGGGCACCAAGUGAUGGUCUGUAUUCAGAUGGAUGUGAAGAGGGUGUGCAUGAGGUAUUCGCAUGUUUCCUAGACAUGCACCCUCUAAGGUCUUGACUACUGAGUGGUUCAGAGUUUGUGCCACACUCAGCAUCAUAGCCUUUUUUUCUGUGACAGAUUGGCUAUUGAUGGUGAACCUCUGAUUCUGCCCUCUUCAUCGACAAGUGUGGUGCUCUGUGCCUUCUUGCUGUCACGAGGAAGCAUCAGAUGCUAUUGGUUCCCUUCCAGGAGAGAUGACGUGUAUUUCACACUUGUCCCACUAGGGGAGUAAGCAGGGCAUGAGGUCACUGUGACAGAGUGGGUCCCUGAGAUGGGGAUUGGAGUGAAUUGGGAGGUAUCUCCUCAAAGGCAUCCAUUACCAUUGCAUGGCUAGUUUGUUGACAAGAAGGAGGGAGGAGCGUGGUGGUGGUGAUGGAACCUGAAUGAUAGGAUGACAUGGGAGUUGUACAGGUAGACACGGAGGAGACCACAAAGGGUAGAAUCUCUUGUGCUUCUUUUCCAGUGAGGGAGUCCACAGCUCAUGGUGAGCCCUGAACAUCACCAGGAUCUGUAUAAGGACAGCCAUGGACCUUCACUGCAGCAUAGGCAGGGAAUAUCCAUGGCCUUCACUAAGUGAUAUUGGGGUCCCUGAUGUGGAGUCGUGGGGUAGUGGGGUUGCUGUGACUUUGCUUUAGGUUCUGGAGCCCAGGAGAGCAAUGAAGGAAGAACUGAGCCAAUCCACUGACCCUGAAUUUUUCCUUCGUGUAUAGUGAAGUAAAAUGAAUGUUGAUCUUCUCUACAUCCUUGGAGUGCUUAUUCUUUGGUCCAGUGGUGUUGUGAUGGACCACCCUGCCCAGGAGAAAGCACAGAAUUCUUUGCAGGUCAGUAGUUGAUGAUAAUGAGUCUCAGGAUGAGAGUUUUGCACUCAAAUUGCUUCUGGUAUCAGAGUGAAGAGAAAGCCUUUGUGCCAGUGGUGAUGCCAGAGCACAGCCCAGUGUUCUUGCAGAGCAAAGGAUAAGGUUUUAGCAGGGUGUGGUUUGCCUUCCUUUCAGAUAUCUGCAGUGAUGAAAAAAUGUUUGUUGUGGUGAGAUUGCUGAUGAUAGAUGAGACCUCUGUGCAUGUAGCCUGGCUACAGGGCAUGAUAUUCCUU